Long non-coding RNA from Drosophila montana, 627 nucleotides. RefSeq lists it as uncharacterized. The transcript has 3 exons. NCBI's taxonomy places the organism in Eukaryota, Metazoa, Arthropoda, Insecta, Diptera, Drosophilidae. The record is from RefSeq and is a predicted model, not a curated record.
AAUUGAACUGUAUUAAAGCUGUAUUUGAAUAUAUUCAGUGCAUAUUUGAAUAAAUAUCAAAUUAUCAAAUUGAUGAUUAUUGACAAACAGUUAAAUUUGACAGGAAGUUAUGUGCAUGUAUUUUGGGUAAUUGCUGUGAUUAAACGAUACUCACCGCCAUGUCGUAUGAUGCCCACUUCCUGGAGUAUCGAUGCCGCCAAAUCGGCCUUUUGUCUGCUGCUCUCGAACCGCUCCGAGUUGAUGGGCACCUGGAGCGGUCGAUAAAGCGUGGAGAUGCACAGUGUACCCAGAUUUUCGGUGGCGAUGUCGUGUAUUGUCACCAGCGAUUGCUCAAUGGCCGUCUGCGUGGAAAUCGAGGGAGACAAAAAAAAGAAAAGAAAGCGUAAACUCUAUUCAUUACGGAUAUUGUAUCUUAAAACAAGUCGCUUAACUUGGAACAUUUGCUGUGCUUAAAAUAUUAGCGAAUUUAUGGAAUAAGAGGUUUGGCUGCUCCUCCUGAAUUCUCCUAGACUUUAAGUUUCAUUCUUCUUAAAUUAAUACUUUAAUCGAGGCAGCAAUUGAAAAAAAUGAGCCAAGAGUGAAAAAGCGGAUUUUAAUUGGUUCGAAUCAUGAAACGAAAUAUCAAAA